UACGGAGGGGGUUAGCGUUGUUCGGAAUUACUGGGCGUAAAGCGCGCGUAGGCGGAUUAGAAAGUUGGGGGUGAAAUCCCGGGGCUCAACCCCGGAACUGCCUCCAAAACUACUAGUCUAGAGUUCGAGAGAGGUGAGUGGUAUUCCGAGUGUAGAGGUGAAAUUCGUAGAUAUUCGGAGGAACACCAGUGGCGAAGGCGGCUCACUGGCUCGAUACUGACGCUGAGGUGCGAAAGUGUGGGGAGCAAACGGG
Molecule: ribosomal RNA, 253 nt
Filed under: uncultured bacterium
Lineage: Bacteria
Description: partial 16S ribosomal RNA
Rfam family: Bacterial small subunit ribosomal RNA
Source: RNAcentral